ACGUAGGUGGCAAGCGUUGUCCGGAUUUACUGGGUGUAAAGGGCGUGUAGGCGGAGAUGCAAGUCAGAUGUGAAAUCCCCGGGCUUAACCCGGGAACUGCAUUUGAAACUGUAUCCCUUGAGUAUCGGAGAGGCAGGCGGAAUUCCUAGUGUAGCGGUGAAAUGCGUAGAUAUUAGGAGGAACACCAGUGGCGAAGGCGGCCUGCUGGACGACAACUGACGCUGAGGCGCGAAAGCGUGGGGAGCAAACAG
RNAcentral lists this ribosomal RNA (251 nucleotides) under uncultured bacterium. RNAcentral's name for it is "partial 16S ribosomal RNA". It matches the Rfam family "Bacterial small subunit ribosomal RNA", at positions 525 to 775 of the family's 1533-position model. The record is from RNAcentral.